Molecule: small nucleolar RNA, 104 nt
Organism: Sciurus vulgaris (Eurasian red squirrel)
Lineage: Eukaryota; Metazoa; Chordata; Mammalia; Rodentia; Sciuridae
Source: Ensembl
AUUCUUUUAUGGCUCAAAAGUGUGACAACUGGAUUUUCAUGCCAUUGCAUGAGAUGUGCCUCCUUCAAGCCUUGCUACAGCACCAGCGCCUUACUAAUCUUACG